RNAcentral lists this ribosomal RNA (470 nucleotides) under uncultured bacterium. RNAcentral describes it as "bacterial SSU rRNA". It matches the Rfam family "Bacterial small subunit ribosomal RNA", at positions 28 to 507 of the family's 1533-position model. The record is from RNAcentral.
GAUGAACGCUAGCGGCAGGCCUAAUACAUGCAAGUCGAACGGUGUCUUCGGACAUAGUGGCGCACGGGUGCGUAACGCGUAUGCAACCUACCUUAAUCAGGGGGAUAGCCUCUCGAAAGAGAGAUUAACACCGCAUAAAAUCACACUUCGGCAUCGAAGAAUGAUCAAAUAUUUAUAGGAUUAAGAUGGGCAUGCGUGACAUUAGCUAGUUGGUAAGGUAACGGCUUACCAAGGCUACGAUGUCUAGGGGAUCUGAGAGGAUGACCCCCCACACUGGUACUGAGACACGGACCAGACUCCUACGGGAGGCAGCAGUAAGGAAUAUUGGUCAAUGGGGGCAACCCUGAACCAGCCAUGCCGCGUGCAGGAAGACGGCCCUACGGGUUGUAAACUGCUUUUAUACGGGAAUAAAUCUCGCUACGUGUAGUGAGUUGAAUGUACUGUAAGAAUAAGGAUCGGCUAACUCCGUG